This 18615-nucleotide long non-coding RNA is filed under the name Eucalyptus grandis. Its description in RNAcentral is "long non-coding RNA (EGRA_LNC003959)". Lineage: Eukaryota; Viridiplantae; Streptophyta; Magnoliopsida; Myrtales; Myrtaceae. The record is from RNAcentral.
GAAAUUGUAUUGGAAUCAAGGGAGGAUGGUAAGAGUUUUCUCGGAUCACUUGAGUAUCUCUACAUAUAUCAUAUGAAGAGUUUGAGGGGCAUUUAUGAGGGGCCGAUGCACCGAGGAUGCUUGUCUCAUCUUAGAUCCUUGGCCUUACUCACAUGUCCUCAGUUGACUACUAUAUUCACACCUGGCCUCCUAAAAAACCUUGAUAGCUUAGAAGAGAUCAAAGUCCAAGACUGCCCCCUUGUCUUAAGUUUAGUGAUGUGUGAAGAUACUUCUAUUUACGAGAGUACUCACUUCCUUCCCAACUUGAAAAGGAUAUCCCUGUUCUCACUGCCUGAACUCACUAGCAUUUCCAAUGGCUUACACAUUGCACCAAACUUGGAACGAAUGAACAUUUCUGAUUGUCCGAAUCUCAAGAGUCCUUCAAGUGAUGGAAUCUGUUGCAAUCAUCUGACAGGGGCUAAAGGUAAGGAUACUAAUCAGUGGAGAGCAUUGUUCUGUUGAAAUGAUGCAUGUCUUUCCUUUCACUUUCAUUUGAUACAUUUGAUUGAACAAGUUAAAAGCUGCGGGCCCAUCUUGAAUAAAGAGAAAAUUGGAAAGUCAACUCUUCUCUGAAUGAACUCUUAGCAUCUUUCAAAUAGGAUAUUUGAUCUACCCUUGUAAUGUUUAUGAACGAGGCAGUGACAACUAACUGUACAAAACUCUGGCCGUUCUACUGUAUCUUCAGAACUAUGACUUCUUCUGAUGCAUAAUAUAUUUCAGUGUACAAAACCAGAUGUCGACUUUUUGUUUCAUAGAUUGGUAUUAGAUUAAUGUUUGUACUUUGUUGUACAACAGUUGAAGCACCUAUAACGGCCUGAGGUGUUGAUGAGUAUGGAAACGGAGGAUAUAUUAACGGUAGAUGACGGAUCAUUUAUCUUGCUUUGAGAAAAGGAAAAUGGAGGAGAGUGCUUCAAGAGAUCAUUGAUCGAUUUUGUAGAUUCAGUUUUGUAACUUUUUCGCAUCUGAAAGGCUAGCAGCUAUUUAUGGCAAUUGUUGUUUAUUGGAAAGAUUUUAGUUGUUACGCCUUUUUUGUGAUACUUCCUUAAUUUUUCCAGAUUGAUCUGAAUUAAUAGGUGGCUUGAUAGGCAAAUAAUUGACUGAUUUACGACUUUCCUAUGAAUUUAGUUAGCUGUUCCAUUUAUGUUGGAGUUGAUUUUAGUACUUCUGUACAAAGAAAUGUUCUAAACCUGCAGUUUUAUUUUUGAAGUGCAAAUUCUCAAUACAUACGCUGAUUGUCCCUGGUGCCGGAGUCAGUUCUGUCUACAAAAGACGGGGCUGCUUGGCCAACUAGAACAAAUAUGCAGUCACCUGCUCGUUGACUUUGGGCUGCGCAUGCUUUGGCAUGGACAUGAAAGUCUGCGUCAGGCACAUAGCUGUCAUUCUGUCCGAGCCAGAAAGACUUUACCUUGACAUAUUGUGGAUAAGUUGGUGCUUUCUGUUAGAACCAACGUUUAGUGAUUGACUGCAAUUUUCUUAAUACAAAAGAAAAAAAAAAUUGCUCCUCUUGUAGCGAUCGCCCAGAUGCAUUGACUGCUUAUUGCAAAAAGUUGGAAGAAGUCACUGGAAUAAGACUUGGUGUUCUGGAACUUUUGGUUUGUUCUUUUCAUCUUUACUUUAGUUGCAUCUCUUCUUCUGGGGAAUCUGCGCUCAUUUAUGAGUGAAUCAUCUGACAAAGGAGUCAUGAAGCCAUAGAGUGUCACUGGGUGAAUGGUUUAACAUUUUUAUUGUGCCUGCUUUCAACUCUAUAGAAUUGUAACAAAGAUUUUUCUUUCAGGAGGUUUAAACCGUACUCAGAGCAGUAUCCACUCUUCAACUGCUUUGAGUCCAAGUGUUCAACCUCAAGGUGAAAAGUGCAGACCUGUAAGUCUGCCCACUCCAAGAUCUGAAGGUUACAUACUAUCAGAUCCGAAUUUAAAAGUUUUCGCAUACAGCGAGCUUAAUUAUUCCACGGGAAACUUCCAUAACGAUAACCUUAUGGGGGAAGGGGGCUUUGGUUACGUGUACAAAGGGUGGAUUGAUGAGCUAACCUUCAGUCCUGCAAGGCCAGGAUGAGGUUUUCCAGGGUCACAAACAGUGGUUGGUAAGUUUAUUUAUUGGACUAGGUUUUCUCUUUGUAAAACUCUAAGCACUGAUGUUGCCUCCUGGCUGCAGGCAGAAGUGAAAUACCUCGGUCGAUUUCAACAUCCAAAUCUGGUCAGACUUCUCGGGUUCUGCUUGGAGGCUGAUAAUCGACUUUUAGUGUAUGAGUAUGUGCCCAAGGGAAGUCUUGAAAAUCAUCUAUUCCGGAGUGAGUCAAUGGUUUUGGUACUUCAUAUCUUACUCAGCAAAAGGAGAUGUGUUGCACUCAUCGAGUGAAAUAUAUAAAUGCAGGGGUUGCCGAGCCAUUUUCCUGGGAAAUGAGAAUCAAAGUUGCUAUAGGUGCUGCUCGGGGGCUCUCCUUCCUUCACGAGGCAGAGCAAAGAGUAAUAUUCCGUGAUUUCAAGGCUUCCAAUAUUCUGCUGGAUUGGGUAUGUGCGCUCAAAGACUAGUAACUGCCAAUGAACUUCAUAUUAAAUGGAGAGAUUCUGUCUGUCUAUUUGUCUUGUACAUGUCAUGAACGUGUGCUCAUGCACAUGCUUGCGUGCAUGUGCGCAAACAAUCCACUUAUUCUGGAUUAAGAAAUCAGCUUCUUUUCGGUUCUAUAGGCUAAAUUGGUUCUGCAUGUAAUGCAGGAAUACAAUGCAAAACUUUCAGACUUUGGCUUGUCAAAGGUAGGCCCCACUGGUGAUGGAAUUCAUUUUUCGACUCAAGUGAUGGGUACUCAAGGUUAUGCUGCUCCCGAAUAUAUAGCAACAGGUGCGAUUGUCAUGGUCUUUUGUAGUAUUCGUGAGCUAAUCAUUUACUAAUAAAUCAUCGGGAACUCAUACUUCAACUAAUUCCAGAAGAUAUGGUCAUUGUUUUGGCAUCAAUAUGCAAUUACUUGGAAGUCAAACCUGGGUUUUGAAUGGCCAUUCCUCCUAUAUCACCAGGAUGACUCCACCAGAAUUAUUUACAGUGGCUGAUUUAAAUGGCCACGGCAUAUUUAUCACUGCUGAAGAAAGUAUGAGAUCUGAAUUGACAUAUGGUUUGUGGUAUCCAAAAAUGGACGGUGAUUGGAUGUUUACAGAACUGGAUUCAGAAGGGCAACCAUGCUGAUGCAUUUCAUUUGAAUUGCAUGCAUUAGCAAAUCCUUGUUUGUUAAAUUUUUGAAGUGGUAGGUAACGUCAUACAUCACUCUAAUUGCACAAUACAAACAUGGCCUAUGAGGCAUUUCUUAUAUUGUAAAUGUCAUCAAUAUUGAAGUUUGGAACUCAAAAGAAUGAGGGAUGAAUGGUUAUUUCACUGUAUGGAAAUUCUUGAUUCCUGUUCUGAGCAACUUUGCUCGUUCUCUGUGUCCUGAUAUAUGCUGUUUCUGUUGAACAGGGUGCUUGACUGCGCGGUGUGAUGUGUACAGCUUCGGCGUUGUGCUGCUGGAGUUGCUCUCAGGACGUCACGCUGUCGAUAAAUCAAAAGUCAGGGUGGAGCAAAAUCUUGUGGAAUGGGCUAAACCAUAUUUAAGCAAUAAGCGGAAGCUAUACCGCAUAAUGGACGUGAGAUUGGAGGGGCAGUAUCCUCAGAAAAGAGCAAGUAUGGUUGCAUUCCUUGCCUUCGAGUGUAUUGGCGAUGCCAAAUGUCGACCUUCAAUGACCGAGGUCCUGGCGAGGCUAGAGAAGAUCCUGGUGCCAAAAGAGACGACGGCCACUGCUAGACAGGAGCAGCAGUUGGGCUCGUCAUCCCUGCGACUGAAAUCUCCGUUGCAACACAACUACCCUUGGCCGGCUGUCAGGAUGCCAAUAAGAUUGUCCCCGCUCUCUGCCAUGAGAUCGCGUCGUCAAUGAAGAGCUACGGCAGAUUCUUUUGUACCUCACAUGGUUAACAGCAAUGUACAUCCUUCCCAUUUUCUGUAUCCUGUAUUCUGAUCAGCAUUUGGAAGCUUUUGUUUUGUCUGUUGACAAUGCAAGAGGGAAAAUUUUGAAUUGGGGUGGAACUAUACUUCACUUCAUCCAUUUUCCAUGAGAGAAUUGAAAUAUCUGGGGAUUCAUGGUCAAAAUCACUUUUUUCUGUCUUCUGAGUCAUACUCCAAAUCACAUUCCAGCUGUCAGUAUAUCUUCUUUCGGAGAAAGACCAUGACGCAUUAACGCAUUAAAAGGAGAAAUAGUACCACCGAAAGACAUGCACACCUUGGAAAAAAAAUUUAAAAAUGACUUUUUAUCUCUAAUUGUUUAAUUCUUACGACACUUAUAAAUAUUGAUUUCACACUUUUUACAAUAUAUAUUAGCAUGUGAGGUUUAAUUUAUUUUUUUUUAUAAUAAAAAGGUUCUAAAAUUUGAAUAAUAUUUUGAGUUUGAGUAAGAAAGGAACUUAUCAGUUGACUUUUUGUGAAGAAGGAAAAAAAGAAAAAAAGCAGAGGCUCACGACGUUAUAUUGCGAACAGAAUAAGCCACUUCAGCACAUUCGCAACAAUGUCAAAUGAAAGGAGUGCCGGAUAUUUGGACUGCCAAAAUUUGGUACGAAAGGAUAUUUAAGUGUCAAAAAUUAAAAAAAGUGACACUAAAGUACCAAAAUUGCAGUAAAAUGAAUCACUUAAGUGUUAAUGGUUAGAAAAUUUAGCCAAAAUGCUAAAGUGGCGGUUUUCCGGUGAGACAAGUACAAAAUGAUGUCGUUUUGCAUGCUAAAAUGGUUAGAUAAGUGCAAAAGCAACAUUGUUUUGCUGCUUACAUAGAUAAAUAAUUAAUAUAAAAAUAUAUUAAAUUUAAUUUUAAAUUUAAUUUUAAAUUAGAUUUAUUUAAAAAAAUUUAAAAAAUUAUUUUUUUUUUAAAAGGAGAUUGCAAGCGGUGAGGGAAGCCCUUGCCGUCUGCAAUCUCUCUCUCUCUCUCUCUCUCUCUCUCUCUCUCUCUCUCUCUCUCUCUAUUUUUUUUUUUUUUUUAGUUUCCGCGCCAAAACAACUCGUUUUUCAUUUCUUUGCUAAGUUUCAGCAAGCCAUGUAGACGAGAAAAAUUAAUAAAAAAUUAUUACAUAGAAUUUCCUAUGAUUUUGCCAGAGAUGACACUUAAGUAUCCUUUUUUUUUUUUUAAGUGUCACUUUCAUAACUUUAGCACUUAAUGUCCCAUUAUGCCAAGUUUUGGCACUUGGGAUAUAUUUUUGCUCGAAAGAAAGUCAAGAAACGAACCCAGACAAAGGGGAAGAAGUUUUCAGAGAGCACGACAAGAACGAGGAUGGAGGUCUCUCUUCCAUGUCCAUUUCGGUUAGGGGUGAGCAUGGUUCCCUAUUUUAUAGAGGGAGGUUCCGGUUCCCGAUUCCUUUUUUUUUUCGAAACUGGCGGUUCCCGGUUCUUAUAGGAACUAGAACCGGACCGGGAUUCCUAAACCUAAAAUUAUUUAUGCCUUUUUCUUUUCUUUUUACCUUUUACCAAUGCAUUUUGGUUUUUACAAGAUUUUCAUCAUCGAAUUCACGGGACAUAACAUUUAUGGACUCCAUCCAUUGGUUUAAUUGAGUCAUGCAUAUUUGUUGGUCAAUUUAAUGAGUUCUUUGCAAAGACAAAUAAGAGAUGAAUUUGAGUUCAUUUUCCAUGAUUUGUUAUGUAAUUUAGUGAGAUACUCGUCGGGUUAGGGAGUUAAAUUUGUUUUGUCUUCCCAUUGCUUUAUCAUUCUUCCCUAAGCAAGUAUUUUCUAAAUAAGAUAUUUGGAUAGUCUACUAGGACCUAGAUUCAUCUUUAUUCUCUCUCAUUUCUUUUUCUAGGAUUGUGGCUACAACCUAUUUAUGGUUUCUCUUUAAAAAAACGUGGGAUGAAUGAAAUACCGUGGAAAACUCAUAGAUGAAUGAUUGUCCAAAUGCUAUAAGUAUUUGAAGUUGAUAAUCGAUAGGGUUUUUGUAUAUUUCUUUUAAGAAGUUCUUUUGCUGCUCUUCUAUCAUUUUUGAAAAACCAAAUCUAAUCUUGUUCAUUAUUGUUGAGUUCAUUUUCAUUUUGUUUAACUAAAAAAGAAAAAAAGAAAAAAAAGAACCUGUUGGACCGACAAGGUAGGUUGUAGGUUCUAGAUUUCGAAGGGUAAGGUCUAAGUUUUAAAAAAAAAUGAGGAACUUGAACCCGAAUGUGGGUUCUAGGUUCCAAGUGAAACCUGUAAAGAACCUGGAACUGCUCACCCCUAGCUUUAGUUCCAAGGUAUGUACGAGUCAUCAUCUCUCUCUUCCUCUCUCCUUUCACACCUUUGUUAGUUUCAUCACUCUACCCACUUAUGGGGCUUUACCUUGUUGGCUCAUGGAUGCAUUCGAGUGUGUUGUUUGAAUCACCAGAUUGGCGUGUUCUUGGCGCUUCCGGAUUCAGUCUUCUUUCUGAGAGAGGAGGCUCUAAGAUUGCCGACCAUAAGUGCAGUAUUGUGCAAUUACUGGUUGUCCUGCAAGUUUCUUUGAUUUGUGGAAAUUGACAAUGCUCUUCACCACUUCUGCUGUGCAGUCGCUGUGUCAAAGUUUCUUGCUUGUGGUGCAAAUGACAGUUCACUUACAUGUGAGUUGCAUGGAGAGCUCUGUUGGGCAUGCUAUUUGAUAGGAACGUGUCUUAUCGGUCAUAGCCUCCAUUGUUUCCACUGAAUUCUAAUAAAAUAACGCCUUGGAAAGAAUGGUCUCAGGUGCUGCCUGCAGUAUGAAGAAUUCUUGCAUGCAGAAUGUCUAUGAUGAAGGGUUUUGUCUUUCAAAAAGCAUCUCACUACCAAGUUACCACGUCCGUUGCAUUUUUGGUGGUGUAUGAAUUAUAAGGAACUUAGAUCAGCUAUAGGAACCUGAAAUUCUAGUAUGUUGUGACUUGGUUAUGGAUGAAGACUUGGGAUUUUAGAAAUAUGUUAUUGAGCCGCCUUCACAAGAAGUACCUUCUCAAUGAGCUGUUUGGUAUAUGCAGCCAGUAAACCCAUUUAGAAUAGAACAACCACUUUCCCUCAGAUGUGAAUACUUGGCUGAGGUGGUGCUCCUUCUUUCAUUAACUCUCCAAAUUCCUGGAAAUCCUGGUUGUUGCUGUCGACAGGGAAAUCGGGCAUUUGCAUUGCCAUAAUACUCAAUAAUUAUUGCUUGUGUCUUCAGAUGAGUUUCCUUAUUUUCAAAUGGUGUAUUCACAAUUUCUUAGCCUGAUUUUGACAUUUUUUUUUAGCGGUCUCUGUCUAGAGUUGGAACAUGGGCAAAUCAUCUUUCCAUUUGCUGGGCACACUUCAUUGUUACCAGCUGAAAGUUGCUCUCUGAAAUGUGUUUCAGGAAGUUCAUGAUUACCUGAAAACUCUCCACCCGGACCUGCAUAUAACUAGAGGUGAGUAUGAUGAGGAAACUCAAUAUCCAGAGACUAAGACAUUAACUAUUGGCCAAUUCAAGCUUGGAUUUUGCCAUGGUCAUCAGGUUGGAUGCUUCUACUAUUUCACUCUAUCUGUACUUCCUUUUUUAAACUCCAAAGAUUUUUAUUUGAUUUUUUUAUUCUGCAAUCCGAAAGUGUUAGUUCCCAGGGGCUGAAGCUUUUUCAUUAAUUGAUAUUCAACCAUUAACGAUGCAACUGAUUGUGAAACUGAUGGGUGGCAUGAAACCAGAGGAGAUGGUUCAAUCAGUAUAGUUUAGAAUGCUUAAGGGAUUAUGUUGCUAGAUUAAUCAUCAGGAAGUUGUUGAUAGUUCACUGCCUUUCUAUACUGAUCGUCCCUGGGGAACUUAAGCUUAAGUUGGCAAGCGCAGAAGCUAUCUAAACUUGUUUUGACAGUAAGGACAUUAAUCUGGUGAAUUUAUUGCUAACUAAGAGUGAGAUGGACAAAUAGUUUUAGGAGUUAUAGUGCAUAUUAGGAAGUCCAUCUUACUUCCUUGCUCUUUGGAAGACAUUCUGCGCCCCCAUCAUGGAGCAUCAUUGCUGCUUGCUAGUGAUUACAGUCAAUUCCGCUUCCUAUUCUAGUGUCAUCUUCUAUAUUAGUUAGAUAUGGGCAAAUAGUUUUACAAGUCAGUGCAUGGGAGGAAGUUUAUCUUUCUUCCUUGCUCCUUGGAAGACAUUAUGCGGAACCUAUCUCUGCCCUAUCAUGGAGCUUCAUUGCUGCUUGCUAGUGAUCAAAGUCAAUUCCGCUUCCUGUAAUUGUGUCAUAGUACUAUAGUAGUUUGAAAGGCACUUGGAAAUUGGAGCCCAACAAAAGAGAAGUGUCUUAUUUCGUUGACACCAAAGUUUCUUGUAUUGAUCUUAAUUAUCUCACUCCCUCUCCUUUGGUGCUUUGUAGGUUAUUCCUUGGGGAGAUCUGGACUUUCUAGCGAUGCUCCAGAAGCAGCUGGACGUUGAUAUCCUUGUGACGGGUCACACCCACCAGUUCACUGCGCACAAGCAUGAGGGAGGGGUCGUGAUAAACCCAGGUUCUGCUACUGGUGCAUACAGCAGCAUCACUUACGAUGUGAAUCCUAGCUUUAUGCUCAUGGAUAUUGAUGGCCUGCACAUGGUGGUUUAUGUUUAUGAACUCAUUGCUGGGGAAGUUAAGGUCGAUAAGAUUACUUGAAGAAGACCACUACGACGACUGCUCAUUGACUGCCAUUUUACGUACUUAUAGCUUUGACUGUAACACCUAAAAUUCUGUCAUGCUUAUUUUGUUGAAGCAAUCCUAGCUUAUAUGCCUUUGUCAUUGUCAAAUGACCGAUGGACUCGCUUGUUUUACCAUGAGUACUUACACAGUACGAACAUAACGCUGGACAUGUCGUUAAGAGCACCAAGCACAUUAUAAAGGACAACUGCGCAUACUUUUAAAGAGGGGAUUGUUCAAGCUCCCUCGUUGCAUAUACUCAAUUAUUAGCAGUCUUUGGUCGGCUUCCACGCAAAGUGAGUGCACAUAUGCUGUUGCAGGGCACCUCACAGCAAAGUGCGAUGUCUAUGGUUUUGGUGUGGUUCUUUUGGAAAUUAUGACCAGACGAACAGUCAUACACCAAGGUUGGCCUUCCCGUGAAAUUAACCUUGUUAAAUACGUUCAGCCUCAUCUCGGAAGGAAAAAAGAAUUGUACAAAUUGAUGGAUCCAAGGCUUGAAGAGUUCUCGGAAAAAGGUGUCCAAAUUGCUUUCAAGUUGGCUGCUCGCUGCCUUAGCAAAGAUCCAAAAGCUCGUCCCCGGAUGAGUGAAGUUGUAGAAGUUUUGAAGACUAUCCAAGAUCUUCCAUACAAGGCAGGAACAUCAAAUAUUCAGAACAAGGUUAGGGAAUCGCUGGCCGUGAUGACGUCCAAACUCAAACCAUGGUGAAUUCAAGGAAUGCAAGUCUUUCAAUUCCGGGCGGACCAACGCAUAUCCAUGCCACCACACCACCAAUCUCAGGAAGCCAGUGGUAAACUGGGAUAAUGUGUCUAUAAAUAGCUGUUGUUCAACCCCAUUUGUUUCAUUUUCUCCCCUUCUCCCUUUUGAUGUCGGAGUCUCGACUUCCAUCUGAACAUUCGCUCCUGAUUACUGGAUUAUCGAUGGAGUAAAAUAUAAUCUGAGUUAUGUUGCGUUUAUAAAGGCAUCCUUUGAAGGGUGGUCAGGUGAAGCCUAAAAAUGGGAAGGUUGCUUGCGCGUUGAUGCCCUAUCUCUCCUCUACAGCAUUUUAAUGAUAAUGAUUACCUUUGAUGGUGUCUAUUUGAUGUACCUUUUCCUGUAAAAUUUAUUCUGUAUCAAAUUUUUCACGUUGUGGUAUGUCUUUUGACACAUGUUCUUGUUCUCAAUAAUCAUCUCGUUGUAUUUCUAUUUCUCGCGUCACUGGGGCGCUCGUUCAUUUGAAUUGCUAAUUCGUUUGCUGUGUAAAAUACACGGUUUUUUAUUCGACCAAAAAAAAAAAAAUACACGGUUUUUCUCGUUCAGAUUUCAGCCACGAUAAAUUGUUGGAAAUUCUUUUGGGCCAGUAUUUAUUGUUGAAACCGGUAUUUGAGCAUUCAACGUAGGCUACUUUUUUUUUUAUCGAAUUUUUGUUUGGGCCUAUGCGGCCCAACCUAAAAAAGUUUGUCAUGGGCCGUGGGCCCAGCCCAAGUGAGUACGGCCCCGUUAACCACUCCUAGGACAGAGGUUGGAAUGCUGUGCCGGGGCGCCUCCAAGCUUUUUUCUUUGAGUUUUUUUUUUUCAUAUUAUUCUAUUUUUUCCGAGAUAUUCUUUUCUCUUUUUUUGGGGGGGGGGGGGGGGGGGUUACUUUUCCUAUAAAUAAAUAUAAAGUAUAUUCUUUUCUAAAAUUUCUAUUUCUUUUUUCUCCUCCUCCUUUUCUUUUUCUUUAGAAUCUAAUCAAAGAUAUUCUUCUUGCUUUUUUUUAUAUGUAAUAAUACCUUUUCCUUUUGUAUUUUGUAAUCAGUCUAUUCAUACAGUUGGACUUGAUCAAAUCUGACUAUAUGCAAUUCACUUUGAUAUUUCCCAGCCUACUUAUUGCCUUGAAAACAAAUUCUGGGCACACACAAUCAAAAUGCAUAAUACAAGAAGAUGUGCAUUAUCUUAUAAAUUUUAAUAUCAGUAAAACGUCAAAAAAGACGUUUUUCAAAUGAGAAAGAAUAACGAUACUCACAUAAUUUUAAAAAUUAAUAGUGUGUUGCCAAAAAAAAAAACACUUUUUUUCCCACGACAUCGCCCAGGUUUCUUUUCUCCGCACUCCCUCGAUUGCUGCCUUUGCCAAAUCUCCAUCCACUCUUUCACUUUGGCCUCCCCACAAUCCGAGGUACUCUAUUCGUUCAUGCUCGAAAGCGUUUCGAUCUAUUGAUUUCUUCCGUUGGCAAUUCUUAGUUGUAGCGCUGCCGUCCAUGUUAAUAGUGGGCACGUGAUGAAAUUUGUACAUUGGACUGGACCUGUAUUUUUUUGAGAGAAUAUUAGCUUUUGCUCUGGGUGUUUGAUGAAUUGGUAAUUUUUUUUUAGUGAGUCACUAAAUCCAUUUUUCAUCAUCGUUUGAGUGUUUGUUGAUUAUGAUGGUAAUUUGUCUUUUAAUUGUGUUAAUGUAAUUGUUUACCUUUAUCCAUCGCUUCAAGACGCCCAUGGAGACUUUGGGGGCCUACUAGCUUGUCGACGACGAGACCACAAGCUGUUCAUUUUUCUUCUUGAACAUACAUUGGCUCUCUAAAUUUGCACAUUACUGCUAGGUAAUAUUAAAAUAUAAUAAGUGUGCCAUGCACGAUGUGCAUAUUCCAAUGCCAACAUAAAAAAUCUAAAUUUCGAUUAAAAAAGCAUCACCACCCAAUUGACAUAAGUACCAAUAAAUCAUAAUUGCUUUUUAUAAUUAGAUCAUUCUCGAAGAUGAUCACACUUUAGAAUGCGAUAGUCCGCGAAAACAUGACAAUACAAGCGCUCGGACUAUUCUUUUGGCUUUGUGAAAUAAUCAAUUACGAGGAUGUCCUUUAUGCUGCAUGAGGAGAAAAACCAACUCCUGUAACUUGAUGCCGUUACCCUUAACAGGAUCCUCUAAAACGUAACAAGAUUUAGCCAUUCCCCAAGAUUUUGAGGAUUCAUUUCUUACGAUCUAUGAGAUAUAACCCAAGCAUGUCUAGAUGUGAUUAAUUUUUCUCCUGGUUAGACUCGAUUCAAAUCAUCUGUGAAGUACUUAUCAUUCGAGAAGAAGUAUUUACCAUCACGAAGGGCAUGCGCACAAGGGGUCAUCUCCUUGUCUUUGUCCUCUCAUUACACGAUCAAAUUCAACAGCUUUACGUGAAACCAUACAAGAUAAGAAUCUUUGAUUUCGAGACAUGGUCGAAACUUGACGUAAAUCCUGUUACACAGAUUGCUCCUCAACCAGAGGAAAUUUUAAAUGAAAAAUUAUAAUAUUAAAAUAGAGAUGAUCCAAUAAAAUACCAUAUUAAAACCAAACUUAACAUCAUUCUCAUUAAGAGAAUACACCCUCACUCAAAAGUCCCGAAGCAUGCUGAUGAGAACAACUGGAUAGGAGGAUAUAAGUACAUAGGAAAAUACCAGAAAGAUUGGAUGAAUCCGAACGAAGGAUGGUCAGACCCAAACUGAACUGAUGAUAAGAGGCACUCUGUUGCACUAGUAUGAGCUAUCCAUCCACAAAGCCUGGCCUGACUAGUUGCUUGAACGCCAUGCUGCACUAGUGACGAUCCACAUAGUAUCCAAAGGUAAAACUGAGCCACCCAUGUGGCAGAGAUGGAUCUGUUCAUUCUGAGCAAUAAAGGUAAUCAGAGCCACCUCUUACAUCCUCUGCAUAUGCAUAGCCUCAAGCAAAGCAUGGGGAAAACAACAAAUUAGCACAUUAUUCUUGCAUGGAACAAAUCUGAAGCAUCACUAUUUUGGUGGAUUAUUCUCUCCCAUUGUCCUACAGUACAAAGCACCCUUUUUCAUGGGCAUUUCGGGAUAGAAGCUACAAAGAAAUAUUGGUUGGAGAUAAUUUGACAGUCAGAAUAUUUUGUCAAAAUUUUAGCUCUCUCUCAUUGAAGCAAAGCACCCUUCACCAGCCUGCUCACAUGAAACUACUUGCUGUUGCAAGGUCGGGACAAUCCCUAAUGAAAAGGCAGGUAAAUGAGUUCAAAGAGAAUGUAAAGGAGUGCUUAGAGAUUGUUCAGAUGGAAUGGAUGCAUGAUGCUCUAUCGACACCUUCACAUAAUAGGCAGAUGACAUUGCAUAAAUUGCUAUUCAGUGGAGACAACCUGCAAUAAAUUAUUCUAAAUCUCAACAGACAGAAUGUGGAAGUAAAGCAAUCUGCUGCAACCAGAAUAGCUUGGCAUGUUGAGGGAGGGCUUGCGAGCUGUUGAAAGAACUUCAUCUGGUCUUGCUGGAAAUAGUUCCAGGAUAAUGUCAAAAAUUCCUCCUGAGUUCCAUGGGCAUUUAACUAGGAGACGGUAAUUGUGGUGGGAUGCAAGGGAGAAAGCAUCUUGAAAUAAUCAGAAUUUGCAUGUCUAUACUGGAAUUGGAAGCAAACUAAUCCAGGUUAACUUACAAAGAUAACAGUUUCGUGACUGACUGCAGUCUCUCAUAGCCAUCCUCCUUUUGUUCAGGCUUCUCUUUAGGCUUUCAUUUUCCUGCCUGCCUUGAUUCUGGUUUCCAGUUAGCGACUUUCAAAGAAUGACCCAAUAACUCAGCAAUGCCUGUCGCCAUAGCUUCUGCCUUCUUAAUAUAUGGAAAAGUUUACUCCUCAAAGAAGUGAGACAACCACAGAUACAUAGACAGCACCUGAUGUUUGGUCUCCAGAUCCAAAAGCUCAGCAUCAUUUCAAGCAGAGCCCUUAGGCAGGCCCACUGCUAUAUUAAUUGGAUUACAAUUGGUGCAAAACAAAAGUUUUGACUGUAAGCUGUGGCAAACCUCAGAAGAUGAUACAUUGAUUUUGGGUCUCUGACAUUAAUUGGUGCGAAACAAAUUUUGAAGCGAUCUUCAAGAGAUAGCCCUGGGACCUUCUCCAACAUGUCUACCACCCUCUUAAUAUGGUCGUGCCGACACAAGAAGUAUGAGCCAACAAGACGGCAAUUUUCACCAAAUUUCUAGAGUAGCUUGCAGAACGUAACAUUGGGAAGUUGGCAAGCAAAGAGCUCAACCUGCUCAAAGAAAGGAAAGAGACCCACCUUCUUAACUUCUUCAAAUGGCUGCUUCAAACACUCAAUGAGGUACUCUAAAUCAUUAAGCUCAAAGGUAGUUGUAAGCCCAUCAGGAUAUCAGCUUCCUCUUCUACCAGCUCUUCCGGCAAUCUGCUUCACCUGUGAAGCAGGAACUGGCACCAUCUUAUCACCGUUGUACUUCGAGAGAGUGGAAAACACAACCCUUCUGAUAUUCAGAUUGAGACCCAUCCCCACUGCAUCACUUGCAACCAAGACAUCAUUCUCAUUGUCUUGAUCAUUAAACAAGUUAGCUUGCUGUCUUCGAGUCUCAGGUGGCAAGGCACCGUAUAUAGCACAGCAGUGGUGAUUGGUGUGCUUCUCAAUUGCCAAUUUAACCUCACAUAUUUCUCUCAAAGAAAAGGCAACUACACAAUCACCGGAUCGAACAUUGCGAAGAUCCCCAAGCAGCAUCUUGGCUUCAACAACCAGUGGCAUGAAUCUGUCGUAGUGGCAUUCGUGCAACUCAUCCCCAGUAUCAGAACAGAUUUUCCUCACCAUAUUCAGAACACUUGGAUCCCCACAAACAUGUUUCUCAUCGACCUUAAGUCCUAGCAAUGCUCUCGUCCAUGCAUAGCCUCUGUAUGGGUCUGCCAUCAUCUGGAUCUCGUAAAUUAUGGCCACAUCACAUAAGUGAUCGGUCAACGCCAUUUCCACAGUACAAGCAACAUGGUUCGAGAAAGGGACAUUCUUCUUUUCCUGCUUAGUGUGAAGACUAAACUCCCAAAGCACUCACCUUGUCAACCACUUCCUUAGCCAAUAACCUAAGCGGACUACAAUAAGAUUGUUUAAAUGAAGAAACUAACAAAAAUAUUGUAUGUUACUUUACUUGUAGGAUUAGACAAUGUGUGAAAUUUAGGGGCUUGGGCCCCUUUUGUUAUAAAAAGAAAAGGGUGCUCCAGUAAGCUAAAAAUACAGUUCAUGGGCAGCGACGGCUAUUAAAAUUUUGAAGUCCAAGGAUGUUUCUUAUAUCUGUGUAAAAAACCUCAAGCUCCUGAGCUUGAAGCACGACUUUCAAAUGCAGUUAUGGCUGCCAUCUUCAAUCGUGAAUCCUUCCCAUUAGGCGGCUCUUCCUACAUAGAGAUUGUUGCCAAAUGAUGAAAUGUCAUGAAAUAUCAGUGAGAUAAUGCAUGCCAACAUACAGAAGAACGUUAUGGCAAAGACGCAACUCUAUUAUGUCCUGAGACAUUCUAAAACAUUAGAGUAAAAUCUCUUAAUGUUUUGGGAACAACUGUUUCGAGAGCAGACAUUUGCCUGUACUUGAGAAACUUUUGCAUUAGUAUAGAGGUGAUGCAUGUAUAUGUCGCUCCCAUGUUUUAGUGACUGAUUGUUGACUGGUGGUGAUCGAGGGUACGGAGGAAAAGGAGGAAAAAAAAAAGAUCAGCCAUGUUGGGCAGAGCGGUGCAGAGGAACUUUAUUUGCAGGUUAAUGAACCUUUUAAAUGCAGUCGGUAUAAGAAUACAGAGCCAUAUAUCCCAUCACAUGCUUGUAUAUAAUUUCUAUUGCUAAAAUAGGUGCAAGAAUCCUCCAAAAUGAAGCAGGAAUUUCGAUCAGCUAUUCACAAUUGACAUUGAUAAUAACUCCCUCAGUACUGUAAUGAAGAACUCUUCUACCAAAAAAUAAUAACUAAGUUAGCUAGUGUUACCUCAAUCUACAACCUUGAAGCACGUUUACAGCGGCAAAAAUAGACUAGCAAUCCAAAUGACUGCACACUAAUGCUGUGCCGAUAUUUGGUUUUGUACACUGAAAAUAUAUGCAUCAGAAGCAGUCCUAGUUUUGAAGCUAACAUCAGAACGACGAGAAUUUUGUAUAGCUAACUCCUGCUACCUCAUUCAUAAACAUUUGAAGGGUGAUACCAGAUAUUCGAUUUGAAAGAAUAUCAGAUUUCAUUCAUAUAUGUGUUAACUUUCCAAUUUUCUCUUCAUUAAGGCUGGGCCCUGCAGCUUUUAACUUGUUCAACCAAAUAUAUAAAAUGAAAGAGAAAGAAAACGACAGGCAUCAUCUCAACAGAACAAUGCUCUCCGCUGAUAAUUACUCUUACCUUUAGUCCCUGUCAGAUGAUUGUAACAGAUUUCAUUAGGUGAUAGACUCUUGAGAUUUGGACAAUCGAUAAUGCUCAUUCGUUCCAAGUUUGGUGCAAUGCGUAAGACACUAGAAAUGCUAAUGAGCUAUGGCAAUGAGAAUAGGGAAAUCAUUUUCAUGUUGGUGAGAAAGUAAGUACUGUCAUCAAUAGGAGUAUCUUCACGCGGCACUAAACUUGAGACAUGUGGGCAGUCUUCGACUUUGAGCUCUUCUAAGCUAUCAAGGUUUUUCAGUAAGUCAGGUGUAAAUACGGUAGUCAACUAAGGGCAUGUGACUAAGGCCAAGCAUUUAAGAUGAGACAAGGAUCCUCGACGCGGCAGCCCCUCAUAAAUGCACCUCAAACUCUUCAUAUGAUAUAAUAUUCAAGUGACUUGAGAAACCUCGUGUCAUCCUCCCAUAUUUCUGAUACAAUUUCACUUCUAUCAGCUUCAUUGUAUAUGUCAGUUCCAUCAAUAAUAACCCGAAUCUCAUUACACUCCCCAAUUAUGCAACAUUUCAGUUGCUCCAUGUUCGCAAUCCCAAAAUCAGAUAGCUUAGUGACAUCUAUGGCGGUCUAAGAAAAAUACAGUAGCAUGCCGAAGGAUCUUCUGGAUAUCUAUAGGCACCCCAACACCAUUUACAUAUUUCAGGGAUCUAUCUUAGCAUUAUAUUUCAAACUCAAGAUCCACCAUGAGACAAGACAUAAUGCGUACAAUCUGUAGGAUUGUUCAUCAUCUUUACUCAUCAUCAAGUAGCACCUCCAACAAACACAGGCAGAAAUUCCUGUUUUAAAAUCUGUGGAAAUACCGUACAAUAUGUAGGAUUGUUCAUCAUCUUUACUCAUCAUCAGGUAGCCCGCAAUCGUCAGAGGAAAUUGAGAUAUGGUCCAAGGACAUUGAGUCCAGUCUGCCUGACUAUAGCAGAAAGAUCCUUAUGCUUGGGGGUGUAGGAUUGAUGGAGCCUCCGGAGGUCACACAAUGGCAGACGUACACCGAGAUCUACUUGAUGGAAAACCAGUUAACUAAGUUGCCCAAGAUCCUCGAUGUCAUGUACUCUUGGUCUUGUUUCUGAAUAGAAAUUACAAGCUCAGAACAAUUAGUCCGUCUUUCUUCGAUUACAUGCCUGCUCUUGAAAUCCUGAAUUUAUCCAGAACGCGAAUCAAGUCCUUGCCAGAGUCUCUGUUCGGGUUAAGCUACCUAAAAAGACUAUUCUUAACUCACUGUGAGAUGCUGAGCGUGUUGCCUCCAAAAAUUGGAAAACUUCAGCAGCUUGAGGUGCUUGAUCUGGAAGGGACGGAGAUCAUGGAAAUGCGAAUGAGCUUUGGAUUGUUCAUCAUCAGGUAGCACCUCCAACAAACACAAGCAGAAAUUCCUGUUUUACAAUCUGUGGAAAUACCGUACAAUCUGUAGAAUUGUUCAUUAUCUUUACUCAUCAUCAGGUAGCCCACAAUUGUCAGAGGAAAUUGAGAUAUGGUCCAAGGACAUUGAGUCCAGUCCAUGUGACUAGCAGAAAGAUCCUUAUGCUUGGGGGUGUAGGAUUGAUGGAGCCUCCGGAGGUCACACAAUGGCAGACUUACACCGAGAUCUACUUGAUGGAAAACCGGUUAACUGAGUUGCCCCAGGAUCCUCGGUGUCGUGUACUCUUAGUCUUGUUUCUGAAUAGAAAUUACAAGCUCAGAACAAUUAGUCUGUCUUUCUUCGAUUACAUGCCUGCUCUUGAAAUCCUGAAUUUAUCCAGAACGCGAAUCAAGUCCUCGCCAGGGUCUCUGUUCGGGUUAAGUUGCCUAAAAAGACUAUUCUUAACUCAUUGUGAGAUGCUGAGCGUGUUACCUCCAAAAAUUGGAGAACUUCAGCAGCUUAAGGUGCUUGAUCUGGAAGGGACGGAGAUCAUGGAUCUGCCAAAGGAGGUGGCAAAGCCAACAAAGCUCACUUGCUUAGAAGUAUCCUUUUGCCAACGCAUAACUCGGGGCACAAAAUCCGUGAGAGCGGAUGCAUUGAUUCCUAAAGGCACUAUUUCCGCGCUAUCUCAAUUAGAAGAAUUAAGUAUGAUGUAAAUCCAGAGGAUGAGAUGUGGGAGAAUGUUGUGGAAGGUAUGAUUGACGAUAUUUGUGGCUUGUUGAGCUUGGAUACACUAAGAUUGUACUUUCCACAUGUGGGAAAUCUAAGGAAAUUCAAAUGUUUUGAUACGUCAAAAGUGUCUAGAUCGUUCACAUUUCAAAUUCAUUGUUGGCAGUCAUGAUGAACGUAUCAUCUCUUGUCUCCCGGUGGAUCUUGAGUUUGAAAUAGAACGCUAGGAUAGAUUCCUGAAAUAUGUAAAUGGUGUCGGGGUGCCUAUAGAUAUCCAGAAGAUUCUUCGGCAUGCUACUGCAUUUUUCUUAGACCGCCAUAUGGAUGUCACUAAGCUAUCUGAUUUUGGGAUUGCGAACAUGGAGCAACUGAAAUGCUGCAUAAUUGGGGAGUGUAAUGAGAUUCGGGUUAUUAUUGAUGGAACUAACAUGUACGAUGAAGCUGAAAGAAGUAAAAUUGUAUCAGAAACAUGGGAGGAUGACACGAGAUUUCUCAAGUCACUUGAAUAUCUCUAUGUAUAUCUUAUGAAGAGUUUGAGGUGCAUUUAUGAGGGGCUGUCGCGUCGAGAAUCCUUGUCUCAUCUUAAAUGCUUGGCCUUAGUCACAUACCCUCAGUUAACUACCAUAUUUACACCUGAUCUACUGAAAAACCUUGAUAGCUUAGAAGAGCUCAAAGUCGAAGAUUGCCCACAUGUCUCAAGUUUAGUGACAGGUGAAGAUACUCCAAUUGACGACAAUACUUACUUUCUCGCCAACAUGAAAAGGAUAUCCCUAUUCUCAUUGCCAGAGCUCAUUAGCAUUUCCAGUGGCUUACGCAUUGCACCAAACUUGGAACGAAUGAGCAUUAUCGAUUGUCCAAAUCUCAAGAGUCCAUCACCU